ACUUAAUUAGUUUAUUUAAAAUAAAGAUUUGUGGAGUCUUAGAAACAGAAAAGUAUUAAGUU
RNAcentral lists this transfer RNA (62 nucleotides) under Tituria sagittata. RNAcentral describes it as "tRNA-His". Lineage: Eukaryota; Metazoa; Arthropoda; Insecta; Hemiptera; Cicadellidae. The record is from RNAcentral.